This 398-nucleotide ribosomal RNA is filed under the name uncultured Thiobacillus sp. RNAcentral's name for it is "bacterial SSU rRNA". It matches the Rfam family "Bacterial small subunit ribosomal RNA", at positions 983 to 1382 of the family's 1533-position model. The record is from RNAcentral. Lineage: Bacteria; Pseudomonadati; Pseudomonadota; Betaproteobacteria; Nitrosomonadales; Thiobacillaceae.
GACAUGUCCGGAACUUGCCAGAGAUGGCUUGGUGCCCGAAAGGGAAUCGGAACACAGGUGCUGCAUGGCUGUCGUCAGCUCGUGUCGUGAGAUGUUGGGUUAAGUCCCGCAACGAGCGCAACCCUUAUCAUUAGUUGCUACGCAAGGGCACUCUAAUGAGACUGCCGGUGACAAACCGGAGGAAGGUGGGGAGUGACGUCAAGUCCUCAUGGCCCUUAUGGGUAGGGCGUUCACACGUCAUACAAUGGUCGGUACAGAGGGUUGCCAAGCCGCGAGGCGGAGCCAAUCCCACCAAAGCCGAUCGUAGUCCGGAUUGUUCUCUGCAACUCGAGAGCAUGAAGUCGGAAUCGCUAGUAAUCGCAGGUCAGCAUACUGCGGUGAAUACGUUCCCGGGUCUU